RNAcentral lists this ribosomal RNA (1355 nucleotides) under metagenome. RNAcentral describes it as "bacterial LSU rRNA". It matches the Rfam family "Bacterial large subunit ribosomal RNA", at positions 1561 to 2925 of the family's 2925-position model. The record is from RNAcentral.
AGUGGAUUGGAAGCGGUGCAAACUGUGAGUGUGAAAGAAUAGCGCCAAGAAAAGCCUUCUUGAUGAUGAAAACUAGGUACUCGUACCAUAAACCGACACAGGUGGGCAAGUUGAGAAUACGAAGGGGCGCGAGAUAACUCUCUCUAAGGAACUCGGCAAAAUGACCCCGUAACUUCGGGAGAAGGGGUGCCAUCGAAAGAUGGUUGCAGUGAAGAGGCCCAGGCGACUGUUUAGCAAAAACAUAGGUCUCUGCGAACUCGAAAGAGGAUGUAUAGGGGCUGACGCCUGCCAGUGCCGGAAGGUUAAGGAAGUUGGUCAGUCUUAGGAUGAAGCUAGCGACUGUAGCCCCGGUGAACGGCGGCCGUAACUAUAACGGUCCUAAGGUAGCGAAAUUCCUUGUCGGGUAAGUUCCGACCCGCACGAAAGGCGUAACGAUCUGGGCGCUGUCUCGGAGAGAGGCUCGGCGAAAUAGGAAUGUCUGUGAAGAUACGGACUACCUGCACUUGGACAGAAAGACCCUAUGAAGCUUUACUGUAGCUUGGAAUUGUGUUCGGGCUUUGCUUGCGCAGGAUAGGUGGGAGGCUUUGAAACCCGGACGCCAGUUCGGGUGGAGCCAUCCUUGAAAUACCACCCUGGUAUGUUUGAGGUUCUAACCCAGGCCCGUUAUCCGGGUCGGGGACAGUGUAUGGUGGGUAGUUUGACUGGGGCGGUCUCCUCCCAAAGAGUAACGGAGGAGCACGAAGGUACCCUCAGCGCGGUCGGACAUCGCGCAUUGAGUGCAAAGGCAUAAGGGUGCUUGACUGCGAGACAGACAAGUCGAGCAGGGUCGAAAGACGGUCUUAGUGAUCCGGUGGUUCUGAAUGGAAGGGCCAUCGCUCAACGGAUAAAAGGUACUCCGGGGAUAACAGGCUGAUUCCUCCCAAGAGUCCAUAUCGACGGAGGAGUUUGGCACCUCGAUGUCGGCUCAUCACAUCCUGGGGCUGUAGCCGGUCCCAAGGGUAUGGCUGUUCGCCAUUUAAAGUGGUACGCGAGCUGGGUUUAGAACGUCGUGAGACAGUUCGGUCCCUAUCUGCCGUGGGCGCUUGAGACUUGAAGGGAGCUGCUCCUAGUACGAGAGGACCGGAGUGGACGUACCCCUGGUGUUCCGGUUGUCACGCCAGUGGCAUUGCCGGGUAGCUAUGUACGGACGGGAUAACCGCUGAAAGCAUCUAAGCGGGAAGCCCCCCCUAAGAUGAGGUCUCACUGGACCCUUGAGGUCCCUGAAGGGCCGUGGAAGACUACCACGUUGAUAGGCUGGGUGUGGAAGUGCAGUAAUGUGCGAAGCUAACCAGUACUAAUUGCCCGUGAGGCUUGAC